UUGUGGAGGAGGACGCCGAAGGUGGGGCUAAUGACUGGGGUGAAGUCGUAACAAGGUAGCCGUACCGGAAGGUGCGGCUGGAUCACCUCCUAACAGGGAGACAACAAAAUGUUUAAUAUUAUUAUUUUGUCACCUUAGGUCGAUCGGUAUCUCACGUUUUUAAUUUAUUAAGAAUUUCAUUUCCUAAGUUUUUCUAGGUCACACCCAUUAUUUUUCCUGGGCCAUUAGCUCAGGUGGUUAGAGCGCACCCCUGAUAAGGGUGAGGUCCCUGGUUCAAGUCCAGGAUGGCCCAUAUCUCUAUGUUGGGGGUAUAGCUCAGUUGGUAGAGCGCCUGCUUUGCAAGCAGGACGUCAGCGGUUCGAGUCCGCUUACCUCCACUGAUUACCACCUCUUCCAUAACCGGUAGAAAGGAAAUGUUUUGAGUUGUGAUCAAAUUCUGAAAGAAUCUAGCUUCCUAAUGAAAUCAUUAAGAUGCUGGACUCAUUGAAUUAAUUUCAUUGUUUUCAGAGAACCUUGACAACUGCAUAGAUUAUUUUUAAAGACAAUAAGCAUCUUUAAUGAUGCAGAUUUAUUAUUUGUGCGAAUGCAUUAAAUAACAAUUCUAUUAAGCUGAUGCUUCAAUUUUGAAGUUAUUGGUCAAGCUACAA
Molecule: unclassified non-coding RNA, 647 nt
Filed under: uncultured Prochlorococcus sp.
Lineage: Bacteria; Bacillati; Cyanobacteriota; Cyanophyceae; Synechococcales; Prochlorococcaceae
Description: partial 16S-23S ribosomal RNA intergenic spacer; may also contain 16S ribosomal RNA and 23S ribosomal RNA
Rfam family: Bacterial small subunit ribosomal RNA (bases 1-93)
Source: RNAcentral